UCAUCGUGAUUUUCAAAAGGUUAUCUCAUGAGUGAUUAAGUUUAAAGGUGAGAAACAAUGGGAAAACCCUUGGCUCUAGGAAACCCAAGGCUACCAACUCAUUUUUAAAGGGAUUAAGGCUUCCCAAAUUAAAGUUAAAGGCUGCAAAUCAAAUGUUUGGGUAAGGAAAUCUUCAUUUAAGCUUUAAAAUAAAUUAAAAAUUAUUUUAAGUUCAAAGAAUUAAUACCAUGUGAAUUUAUUGUGACUGAUUUGGUACUACGAGAUUGGAAAAGUAUUAAGGUUGUGCAUUAUUGAAGUUAGACCACCAACAAGGUAAGGUGGAAUGAAGUUGGAUGUUGGUACUUAUUUAUCAAAGUAUGAUUUACUAGAGAAGUAUGUGCCUAGGAAGGGUGAGCUUGUGAUAUUGACUUAGUAUGAAUUAUUACAAAGGGAUUUGAAAGAGAAGGACUCACAGGAAAUUUGUCAAACUUGUGGCCUAGUGCUAAGAAAUUUAUUGUUAAGAGUACAAAGGUGAGGAUAAGUUGGUUGCAAUUUGAAAUUUAAUGCAAAUGUGCUUGCUAGAAAAAUGUAUAGAUAAUGUUAUAAUUGAAAUUAUACUAAGAGAUUGUGUGAUAUUGAUCGCUAAGUGUGAUUGUGCUAAAACUUAAAUUGCUAGGAAAAAAAUGAAGAAGAUUCAGGUGAUGGUGAUUUUCACCUGCUGAAAAUUUCCUAGUCAACACAUUUCAUUAGCGUGAGUAGAAAUAUUGGUGAGAAUUCCCACCAAAGGAGGGGCGUGAGCAAUACCUUUUAAAAUAUACUAUGGAUAUUGCUACUAUAAGUGCAUAACUACAAAUAUGCUUACUGUUUUUUAUUGACAUUAGAAUGCUACGAAUUAUAUUUUAUCUAUUGAAGUGCCAUUGGGAAGCAUGAGUUGCUAGACAAUUAGGCCUAUUUUUUGUUACCUUACUCUGUUCAUCAAUUUGCAAGAAUAACUAUACUAUGAGUUGUUUUAUAACUACGAGAAACAAGUCCUUGAAAAUAUUAAAUUUCCAUUCUGUUUUGAAAGUCUUAAAAACCAUUUGAAUCUAUACAAUACUUGCAUUCAAUAGGCCAUAAGGGUGUCCAUUUAUAAAUAUUUUAAAUUUGCUUAUUUGGUAAUAUUAUGAUGUUUGGAUGAAAUAUAAAAUUAUGCCAUGCUC
Molecule: long non-coding RNA, 1178 nt
Filed under: Theobroma cacao (cacao)
Lineage: Eukaryota; Viridiplantae; Streptophyta; Magnoliopsida; Malvales; Malvaceae
Description: long non-coding RNA (TCAC_LNC005820)
Source: RNAcentral